CAGCCGCCACGGUAAUACGAAGGGGGCUAGCGUUGUUCGGAUUAACUGGGCGUAAAGCGUGCGCAGGCGGUUAUAUAAGACAGAUGUGAAAUCCCCGGGCUCAACCUGGGACCUGCAUUUGUGACUGUGUAGCUAGAGUACGGUAGAGGGGGAUGGAAUUCCGCGUGUAGCAGUGAAAUGCGUAGAUAUGCGGAGGAACACCGAUGGCGAAGGCAAUCCCCUGGACCUGUACUGACGCUCAUGCACGAAAGCGUGGGGAGCAAACAGGAUUAGAUACCCCAGUAGUCCCUGUCUCUUAUAU
Molecule: ribosomal RNA, 301 nt
Filed under: uncultured bacterium
Lineage: Bacteria
Description: partial 16S ribosomal RNA
Rfam family: Bacterial small subunit ribosomal RNA
Source: RNAcentral